UACGGAAUGUGCAAACGUUAUUCGGAAUCACUGGGCUUAAAGAGUCCGUAGGCGGCUUGUUAGGUGAGGUGUGAAAUCCCUCGGCCCAACCGAGGAAUUGCGCUUCAAACCGGCGAGCUUGAGGAGGAUAGAGGUGGGCGGAACUGAUGGUGGAGCGGUGAAAUGCGUUGAUAUCAUCAGGAACACCGGAGGCGAAAGCGGUCCACUGGGUCCUUUCUGACGCUGAGGGACGAAAGCUAGGGGAGCGAACGGG
Molecule: ribosomal RNA, 253 nt
Filed under: uncultured bacterium
Lineage: Bacteria
Description: partial 16S ribosomal RNA
Rfam family: Bacterial small subunit ribosomal RNA
Source: RNAcentral